GGGCCAGUAGCUUAGCGGUUUAAAGCACCGUCCUUAUAAGACGGGGAGCGAUGGUUCGAAUCCAUCCUGGCCCA
RNAcentral lists this transfer RNA (74 nucleotides) under Candidatus Giovannonibacteria bacterium. RNAcentral describes it as "tRNA-Ile". It matches the Rfam family "tRNA". Rfam says of the family: Transfer RNA (tRNA) molecules are approximately 80 nucleotides in length. Their secondary structure includes four short double-helical elements and three loops (D, anti-codon, and T loops). Lineage: Bacteria; Candidatus Giovannoniibacteriota. The record is from RNAcentral.